RNAcentral lists this ribosomal RNA (1536 nucleotides) under uncultured bacterium. RNAcentral describes it as "bacterial SSU rRNA". It matches the Rfam family "Bacterial small subunit ribosomal RNA". The record is from RNAcentral.
GCUCAGGACGAACGCUGGCGGCGUGCCUAAUACAUGCAAGUCGAGCGAGAACCUUAAUGGUGCUUGCACCGUUAAGGUUAGAGCGGCGGACGGGUGACUAACACGUACGCCACCUACCUAUAAGACUGGGAUAACUCCCGGAAACCGGAGCUGAUACCAAAUAAUUCCUCUUCGCUCAUGAGAAGGAGAUGAAAGGCGGUUAUAUCGGGAGGUAUAGCUGUCACUUACAGAUGGGCCUGCUGCGCAUUAGCUACUUGGAAGGGUAAUGGCCUACCAAGGCAACCAUGCCUAGCCGACCUGAAAGGGUGACCGGCCACCCUGGGACUGACACACGGCCCAAACUCCUACGGGAGGCAGCAAUACGGAAUCUUCCGCAAUGGACGAAAGACUGACGGAUCAACGCCGCGUGACUGAUGAAGGUUUUCGGAUCGUAAAACUCUGUUGUUAGGGAAGAACACGUCCGUCAGUAACUGGAUGCCCACUGACGGUACCUAACGAGAAAGCCCCGGCUAACUACGUGCCAGCAGCCGCGAGUACUACGUAGGGGGCAAGCCGUCUCCGGAAUUAUUGGGCGUAACAGCGCGCGCACGCGGUCUCUUAACUCUGAUGUGAAAGCCCACGGCUCAACCGUGGAGGGGCAUUGGAGACUGGGGGACUUGAGUGUAGGAGAGGAGAGUGGAAUUCCACGUGUAGCGGUGAAAUGCGUAGAUAUGUGGAGGAACACCAGUGGGCGAAGGCGACGUUUCUGGCCUAUAACUGACGCUGAAGCGCGAAAGCGUGGGGAGCAAACAGGAUUAGAUACCCUGGUAGUCCACUGCCGUAAACGAUGAGUGCUAGGUGUUGAGGGGUUUCGAUACCCUUACUGCCGACGUUAACACAUUAAGCACUCCGCCUGUGGAGUACGGCGCGCAAGGCUGAAACUCAAAGGAAUUGACGGGGGCCCGCACAAGCAGUGGAGCAUGUGGUUUAAUUGGAAGCAACGCGAAGAACCUUACCAGGACUUGACAUCCUUUGAAAACUCUAGAGAUAGAGCGUUCCCCUUCGGGGGACAAAGUGACAGGUGGUGCAUGGUUGUAGUCAGCUCGUGUCGUGAGAUGUUGGGUUAAGUCCCGCAACGAGCGCAACCCUUGAUCUUAGUUGCCAGCAUUUAGUUGGGCACUCUAGGGUGACUGCCGGUGAUAAACGGGAUGAAGGUGGGGAUGACGUCAAAUCAUCAUGCCCCUUAUGUCCUGGGCUACACACGUGCUACAAUGGACAGUACAAAGGGAUGCGAAGCCGUGAGGUGGAGCCAAUCCCAGAAAUCUGUUAUCAGUUGGGAUUACAGGGUGCAAGUGUCCUGCACGAAGCCGGAAUUGCUAGUAAUCGCGGAUCAGCAUGCAUCGGUGAAUACGUUCCCGGGCCUUGUCCACACCGCCUGUCACACCACGAGAGUUUGUAACACCUGAAGUCGGUGGGGUAACUUGUUUCCUUCGGGAAAUGAGAGCCAGCGGCCUAAGGUGGGAUAGAUGAUUGGGGUGAAGUCGUAACAAGGUAACC